UACAGAGGUGGCAAGCGUUGUUCGGAAUUACUGGGCGUAAAGGGCGCGUAGGCGGCCUUCUAAGUCGGACGUGAAAUCCCCAGGCUUAACUUGGGAACUGCGUCCGAUACUGGAGGGCUUGAGUGCGGGAGAGGGAUGUGGAAUUCCAGGUGUAGCGGUGAAAUGCGUAGAUAUCUGGAGGAACACCGGUGGCGAAGGCGGCAUCCUGGACCGACACUGACGCUGAGGCGCGAAAGCCAGGGGAGCAAACGGG
Molecule: ribosomal RNA, 253 nt
Filed under: uncultured bacterium
Lineage: Bacteria
Description: partial 16S ribosomal RNA
Rfam family: Bacterial small subunit ribosomal RNA
Source: RNAcentral